GGACGCGUGGCUCAGUGGUAGAGCGUUCCGUUCACAUCGGAAAGGUCAGAGGUUCGAUCCCUCUCGCGUCCA
This 72-nucleotide transfer RNA is filed under the name Patescibacteria group bacterium. RNAcentral describes it as "tRNA-Val". It matches the Rfam family "tRNA". Rfam says of the family: Transfer RNA (tRNA) molecules are approximately 80 nucleotides in length. Their secondary structure includes four short double-helical elements and three loops (D, anti-codon, and T loops). RNAcentral also lists the same sequence under 1 other name. The record is from RNAcentral.